CUGUAGAUGUUAAUCAUGUUGCUCAUGUAGGAUUAGGAAAGAAAGCCAAACCGAGUCCUAGUAGUAUUAGGAUUCCUAGUCCUAGUCUAUUUCCAUAGUCCCUUGUGGACGUGUAUAAAAGACACCCUAGGGGUGUUGAUUGUAAUACCAGAAAAACGAAAAGCAAUACAAAGCAAAGGCUCGACACGGGCCUUUAGCCAUCAAAUCCAUCGAUCAGUUUUAUUCGUGUCGCUAGUUACGCAAGUUCCGUCAAGUAGCCGGCCGAAGCAAGAAUCGCGUAGGCACGCCUGUACAGCUGCAUACGCACGUUCAAAAGCCAACAG
This 323-nucleotide long non-coding RNA is filed under the name Hordeum vulgare. RNAcentral describes it as "long non-coding RNA (HVUL_LNC004315)". The record is from RNAcentral. Lineage: Eukaryota; Viridiplantae; Streptophyta; Magnoliopsida; Poales; Poaceae.